CAUUCUUCAGAUUGAACGGAUUGUGAGGACUUCGUCUUCUGUUCUACUUCGUGAAGGACCAAGGUCCAAAAGAUACUCAUCAAGCUCAGAAAUUAGAAGUCUCCAGGAGAAACCCUUGGAUUUAGGUGUGAAACUGAAUAAUCACAAGGUCAGGACAUACUGGGUCUUGCGCCCAAAUGUUACAAUCCUCGUGCCAACAAAGCAAUAAAGGAAAACAAAAAGUGGUCGAUGACAAUAAUAAGUCCCACAGAACUGGGCCCAAUGGCAUGCCACCGAC
Molecule: long non-coding RNA, 277 nt
Organism: Triticum aestivum (bread wheat)
Lineage: Eukaryota; Viridiplantae; Streptophyta; Magnoliopsida; Poales; Poaceae
Exons: 4
Source: RefSeq, a predicted model, not a curated record